This 250-nucleotide ribosomal RNA is filed under the name uncultured bacterium. RNAcentral's name for it is "partial 16S ribosomal RNA". It matches the Rfam family "Bacterial small subunit ribosomal RNA", at positions 355 to 600 of the family's 1533-position model. The record is from RNAcentral.
CAACGAAUAUUCCGCAAUGGGCGAAAGCCUGACGGAGCGACGCCGCGUGAGGGAUGAAGUCCCUUCGGGAUGUAAACUUCAAUAGUACGCCAGGAACCAAUCCUGGCUAAUAUCCAGGAAAGUUGACCAGCGUACGAAAGGGGCGGCUAACUCCGUGCCAGCAGCCGCGGUAAUACGGAGGCCCCGAGCGUUGUUCGGAAUCACUGGGCUUAAAGCGCGUGUAGGCGGAACGGUAAGUACUUUGUGAAAU